GACGAACGCUGGCGGCGUGCUUCAUACAUGCAAGUCGAACGAGAAAUUCACUUCGGUGGAUGGAAAGUGGCGGACGGGUGAGUAAUGUGUAGAGAAUCUGCCCUGGAGUGGGGGACAACAGAGGGAAACUCCUGCUAAUACCCCAUAUGCGCGUAGUUGCGAUACUAUUCGUGAAAGAUUUAUUGCUCCAGGAUGAGUCUGCAUCUGAUUAGCUAGUUGGGGUGUAAUGGACCACCAAGGCGACGAUCAGUAGCUGGUCUGAGAGGACGACCAGCCACACUGGGACUGAGACACGGCCCAG
RNAcentral lists this ribosomal RNA (301 nucleotides) under uncultured bacterium. RNAcentral's name for it is "bacterial SSU rRNA". It matches the Rfam family "Bacterial small subunit ribosomal RNA", at positions 28 to 334 of the family's 1533-position model. The record is from RNAcentral.